CGGCAUUAACGAGAGCAUAUACUGCAGUCGAGCGCGACAGAUGGGAGCUUGCUCCCUGAUGUUAGCGGCGGACGGGUGAGUAACACGUGGGUAACCUGCCUGUAAGACUGGGAUAACUCCGGGAAACCGGGGCUAAUACCGGAUGGUUGUUUGAACCGCAUGGUUCCAACAUAAAAGGUGGCUUCGGCUACCACUUACAGAUGGACCCGCGGCGCAUUAGCUAGUUGGUGAGGUAACGGCUCACCAAGGCAACGAUGCGUAACCGACCUGAGAGGGUGAUCGGCCACACUGGGACUGAUACACGGCCCAGACUCCUACGGGAGGCAGCAGUAGGGAAUCUUCCGCAAUGGACGAAAGUCUGACGGAGCAACGCCGCGUGAGUGAUGAAGGUUUUCGGAUCGUAAAGCUCUGUUGUUAGGGAAGAACAAGUACCGUUCGAAUAGGGCGGGACCUUGACGGUACCUAACCAUAAAGCCACGGCUAACUACGUGCCAGCAGCCGCGGUAAUACGUAGGUGGCAAGCGUUGUCCGGACUUAUUGGGCGUAAAGGGCUCGCAGGCGGUGUCUUAAGUCUGAGGUGAAAGCCCCCGGCUCAACCGGGGAAGGUCAUUGGAAACUGGGGAACUUGAGUGCAGAAGACGAGAGUGGGAUUCCACUUGUAGCCGUGAAAUGCAUAGAGAUGUGGACGAACACCAGUGGAGAAGGUGACUCUCUGCUCUGUAACUGACGCUGAGGAGCAGAAGCGGGGGGAGCGAACCGGAUAGAUACCCUGGUAGUCCACGUCUUAACCGUUGAGUAG
RNAcentral lists this ribosomal RNA (799 nucleotides) under Bacillus subtilis. RNAcentral describes it as "bacterial SSU rRNA". It matches the Rfam family "Bacterial small subunit ribosomal RNA", at positions 40 to 816 of the family's 1533-position model. The record is from RNAcentral. Lineage: Bacteria; Bacillati; Bacillota; Bacilli; Caryophanales; Bacillaceae.